AACGAACGCUGGCGGCAUGCCUAACACAUGCCAGUCGAACGAGACCUUCGGGUCUAGUGGCGCACGGGUGCGUAACGCGUGGGAACCUGCCCUUAGGUUCGGAAUAACUCCCCGAAAGGGGUGCUAAUACCGGAUAAUGUCUUCGGACCAAAGAUUUAUCGCCUUUGGGUGGGCCCGCGUUGGAUUAGCUAGUUGGUAGGGUAAAAGCCUACCAAGGCGACGAUCCAUAGCUGGUCUGAGAGGAUGAUCAGCCACACUGGGACUGAGACACGGCCCAGACUCCUACGGGAGGCAGCAGUGGGGGAUAUUGGACAAUGGGCGAAAGCCUGAUCCAGCAAUGCCGCGUGAGUGAUGAAGGCCUUAGGGUUGUAAAGCUCUUUUACCCGGGAUGAUAAUGACAGUACCGGGAGAAUAAGCUCCGGCUAACUCCGUG
Molecule: ribosomal RNA, 433 nt
Filed under: uncultured bacterium
Lineage: Bacteria
Description: partial 16S ribosomal RNA
Rfam family: Bacterial small subunit ribosomal RNA
Source: RNAcentral